UAUUGCACAAUGGGGGAAACCCUGAUGCAGCGACGCCGCGUGAAGGAAGAAGUAUUUCGGUAUGUAAAAUUCUAUCAGCAGGGAAGAAAAUGACGGUACCUGACUAAGAAGCUUCGGCUAACUACGUUCCAGCAGCCGCGGUAAUACGUAGGGGGCAAGCGUUAUCCGGAUUUACUGGGUGUAAAGGGAGCGUGGGCGGUUGAGCAAGUCAGAAGUGAAAGCCCGGGGCUCAACUCCGGGACUGCUUUUGAAACUGUUGAACUAGAUUGCAGGAGAGGUAAGUGGAAUUCCUAGGGUAGCGGCGAAAUGCGUAGAUAUUAGGAGGAACACCAGUGGCGAAGGCGGCUUACUGGACUGUAAAUGACGCUGAGGCUCGAAAGCGUGGGGAGCAAACAGG
Molecule: ribosomal RNA, 397 nt
Filed under: uncultured bacterium
Lineage: Bacteria
Description: bacterial SSU rRNA
Rfam family: Bacterial small subunit ribosomal RNA
Source: RNAcentral